CUUCAAACAAAUUGAAAGAAAGCCUCUAGGAAUUCACUGCCAAAACAUAGAAUAAUGUGUAUCAUAGAUACAACACUAAGCUUCGAAUAGUGGAUGACGUCUCAGCACUCCUGAGAUUUGAAGUAAAAGAGGUGAUGGGAUAUUACCGCGGGACCGAAGCAGUUCAAAGACUAGAUUAGCCCAGGCAUCGAGCUUCUAGAGUGUCACGACCCAAACCGAUGGGCCGUGACGAGUGCUUGAGUCCUACCUGACAAACACCCCUAAGCAUGCGUCUAAGAUAUGAAUCUGAAUAACAUCUGCUGCAUUACGAAAAUAACUUACUUGAAGGAAACAUGCCAUCAAGGAAUAUGUACGUAUACAUGUAGAAUACAGUGGGCGAGCUGGCAAGGCUGCUAUAAACAACUAUACAUCCAAAACUUAAAGCCGACAAAGCCACAUACAACCUAACUAGACAUACUGUCCACAGACCUCUAACAGAAACAUAACUGUACAAAGACGGGACUGAGCCACGUCAUACCCAUAUAUAUAUAUAUACAAACGUAUGGUACCAGAUCAAAAGUAGCUCUAGAUCAAAUGGAGCACACCAACUCUCGCUGAUCAGGGAUCCUAAGAAGGGAAACCGUCAGCUUGCCUACCUGCACCUGCGGGCAUGAAAUGCAGGCCCCGUGAAAUAGGGCGUCAGUACGAAAAAUGUACCGAGUAUGUAAGUCAUGGACAUUAGUACGUAAAAGAUAUAGAUGAAACAUGGAAUAUAGAAACACGUCUUUAAAUCUGAACAACUUUAUAAAUUCUAAAACAUUUAUAAUGUCGUGCACGUGCGUAUAAAUAUCGUGCCAUGCAUAGGUAUGGGUGUACAUUAUAUCAUCAAGCCACUGAGGGUAUCCCAUCAUAUCGUCUCGGCCACUGUGGGCAACAUCAUCAUCAUAUACCAGCUGAUCAGGUGGUGGUGCGUAUAUAACGCUGUAACCUUUUUCCAUAUCCCAUAUACAUAUAUUUACAUAUAUACACAUAUAUAACGCCGCCUAAGUCAUAUUUCAGCCACUAUGGGCAACAUCAUUAUCAUAUACCAACUGGUCAGGUGGUGGUGUGUAUAUAUUGCCGUAACCUUUUCCAUAUCCCAUAUACAUAUAUACGCGUAUAUAAUGCCAUCUGGUCACGAGUCAAUGCACAUGAGUGAAAUGCAUGAAAAAUACAUAAUAAUCUCAAUAUUCCUUCCGGAUAAACUUUUCCAAUUGCGUAUUAUUAUGAGACCCAUGAAAAGAAAAUAAUAAUAAUUUUCAUGGGGAAUCAAGAAUAUAGACACCCCUAAUAAUUCUAUGAAUAGAGUAAUUUAUGGAAACUCUGUAUUUGCUCAUUUCUUUAAUAUAAUUUGGGCCAUGCCAAAAGAAAGAAGGGAGAGCCUUAAUAUACCUGUCAUUGAAAUUAUUUGAACGAAUCUGCUUCUGUUCUUGCAUUAGAACUUGGACGCAAUGAUUUUUGCUCUAGCAUUUUUAGUUUUGAAAACAAAGACAAAAGGGAUGUGAUCUAAAUUUCAAGCUUGCUCCAACGUUUUCUUUGGUUUGAAGUCUUAAGAGAAAAUGUUUC
This 1584-nucleotide long non-coding RNA is filed under the name Nicotiana tabacum (common tobacco). Its description in RNAcentral is "long non-coding RNA (NTAB_LNC011688)". Lineage: Eukaryota; Viridiplantae; Streptophyta; Magnoliopsida; Solanales; Solanaceae. The record is from RNAcentral.